RNAcentral lists this ribosomal RNA (253 nucleotides) under uncultured bacterium. RNAcentral's name for it is "partial 16S ribosomal RNA". It matches the Rfam family "Bacterial small subunit ribosomal RNA", at positions 524 to 776 of the family's 1533-position model. The record is from RNAcentral.
UACGUAGGGGGCAAGCGUUGUCCGGAAUCAUUGGGCGUAAAGCGCGCGUAGGCUGCCAGAUAAGUCCGGUGUGAAAGUCAAAGGCUCAACCUUUGAAUGCCGCUGGAAACUGUCUGGCUAGAGUCCGGAAGGGGCGAGUGGAACUCCUGGUGUAGCGGUGAAAUGCGCAGAUAUCAGGAGGAACACCAAUGGCGAAGGCAGCUCGCUGGGACGUGACUGACGCUGAGACGCGAAAGCGUGGGGAGCAAACAGG